UGGGGAAUUUUGGACAAUGGGGGAAACCCUGAUCCAGCCAUCCCGCGUGUGCGAUGAAGGCCUUCGGGUUGUAAAGCACUUUUGGCAGGAAAGAAACGUCGCGGGUUAAUACCCCGCGAAACUGACGGUACCUGCAGAAUAAGCACCGGCUAACUACGUGCCAGCAGCCGCGGUAAUACGUAGGGUGCAAGCGUUAAUCGGAAUUACUGGGCGUAAAGCGUGCGCAGGCGGUUCGGAAAGAAAGAUGUGAAAUCCCAGAGCUUAACUUUGGAACUGCAUUUUUAACUACCGGGCUAGAGUGUGUCAGAGGGAGGUGGAAUUCCGCGUGUAGCAGUGAAAUGCGUAGAUAUGCGGAGGAACACCGAUGGCGAAGGCAGCCUCCUGGGAUAACACUGACGCUCAUGCACGAAAGCGUGGGGAGCAAACAGGAUUAGAUACCCUGGUAGUCCACGCCCUAAACGAUGUCAACUAGCUGUUGGGGCCUUCGGGCCUUGGUAGCGCAGCUAACGCGUGAAGUUGACCGCCUGGGGAGUACGGUCGCAAGAUUAAAACUUAAAGGAAUUGACGGGGGUCAUAGCUGUUUCCCU
RNAcentral lists this ribosomal RNA (587 nucleotides) under uncultured bacterium. Its description in RNAcentral is "partial 16S ribosomal RNA". It matches the Rfam family "Bacterial small subunit ribosomal RNA", at positions 355 to 1376 of the family's 1533-position model. The record is from RNAcentral.